Molecule: long non-coding RNA, 4724 nt
Filed under: Homo sapiens (human)
Lineage: Eukaryota; Metazoa; Chordata; Mammalia; Primates; Hominidae
Description: HSALNT0181631
Source: RNAcentral
CAGUCUCUUUCCCUGCCCAAAAAGAGAUAAGAUUUCAACUAAGGGGUGAGGUGGGGGUAGAGGAGGGAGAAUUGAGCUUGGUUCAAGUUUAAAUUGCUGGGUCCCUGGGAAGAGGCUUAGGGCUCCAUCCCAUUGGGCCGUGGCCUGGAGCGUAGACAACAGCCCAGACAGGCUGGAGGGGAAGGGGGUUCUCAAGGAGAAGAGCUAUUGUCUAACCACCCAGAGCACAGCCUUGUGUAUAUAAGGACCACACUUAAGCAGUGUGGAAACAGAGGUUGGAGGCAUCUAGGCCUGAUGAGUCCUUGGCAGCCUCUUAGAAUCCUUAUACCCUAGUAUGGGGUUCGGAAAGAGCCAAGAAUUCUUGUACUCCCCAAAAAGAGUCUGGCGGUGUUCAUGAGGGCUGGUGACCUGGAAAAGGCAUUCUGAUUGGGAUGACAAGGAUGCAGAGUCUAGAGCUGACAGCAGGGUGUGAUUGCUGAAACACAAGAAAGAGAGAAGAACUUUGCCCCCUUCUCCCAGUGCCAGCAGCCCAGAGGUAGCAGGAUCCUGUUGAAGAUGGGUAAUGUGCCAACAUCAUAACAAGGUUCAAGGGAGGCACAUCUCAUACGAGUGUGAAAAGGCAAUCAUCAUGCUUAUGAACUACAAGAUUAUCCUAUAUAUUCAUUUUCAAUUAUUUUAUCCUCCUCUGCCUCUUGCCCUGGACUAUAUAAGACCUGCAAUAUAAUGUUGAAUAAGGAAGGUGAAAACGAACAUCAUUGCAUCACUCCUGAUAUCAAAGAAAGUUCCAAGUUCUGAUCUCCCCUUCCCUACCUCUUUUCUUGACGUCUCUGGAACAAGCUAUCUGAAAGGAGAAAUAGUCACAUCACAAUUUUUUUUUUCUGGGCUCAUGUGAAUAUUGUUUCAGGGACAAGAAGAAAAAAAAAUUUGUCUUCUCUAUUUCCUUAAGAAGGUCAGCAAGAUGGAACAGUUGCAUUUCAUAUGCAGCCUCUCGAAGGACAUUCAUUUUCUCCAGCAGAGCCCCAGGGUGGACAAGGAGGGCCAGCUGUGUGCAGCGUCUGUUGUGUACAGCAUUCAGGACAAUGUCCUCUUGGAUCCCGAGCUCUCCACACAGACAGAGCAGAUAAAGGAAGGUCCCUCUCCUGGUCUUCCUUCCAGGGAGGCUGUUGCUGAGAGAGGUUAAGGGACCUCCCAGAGUCCUCCUCAGGUGGGAGCGGAAGGUUGGCAUUGCUGACCUCCCAUAAGCUUUUACCUGAACUUGGGCUCUGCCUGUCUUUGUUCUGAGGAAUGAGACUGCAAAGAAGCUCCCGAUCUGAAAAGGUGGCAUUUGCUAAGUUAGAAAAUGGAAGUACCACCCAGUCUGGGGGAUCCCAUAGGCACCCAAGAGUGCACCAAGCCACUAGGACCAAGCUCACCUGAGAGUCCCACCCUGCUCGGAAUAUGCAGACUUGGUGUCCUGUCGCUUUAAAGCACUCCAUGCCUGGAAAUGCCACGGCCCACAUGGAAUGGGCACAGCCAACAACUCUCCAAGGAGCCCCAGCAAUGAAUGAUGAGCAUCUCCCCUGAACCCAUCUCCCCAUGUCCGGUGUUUAAAGUGAAUUGAAAUGAAUAUCUGAUAAAUGAAUAAACCUGUAAAUGGAAUCAAAAACCUUAUGAACUUGAAGGAGAAAUAGGAGUCCCAGGUCUGUUAAGUCUAAAUUGAAUAAAUCUGAUCAACUGCCUGACAAUUUCUGCCAACAGCUUUUGAAGAGGAAGAAAAGGGGUGAGCAGAGAAAUUGGGUAGAGGAGAGGGAAGAGCGAGUGGGGUAGGGGAGGCAGGCAUGACUCAGUAAUGAAGCUAUCACCAGGAGUCCCCAGUGUUCCUUACCUGGACUAAUAAAUGGAUGACAAUAGGAGUUCCUUGCAAGUCUGUCUGCUCCUGUGUGUCUGCCCAGAGGACACCUCUAGAGAAUGAGAGAUUUGCAUAAAAUGGGGCCAAAGUCUCCUUUUGGGCCUUGCUGGACAAGGAGCUGAGGAAGAACUCUGGAGUCCUGGAAUCAGCUACUGGGCCUAGAUGAUCUCACCUGCUAGGAUGGGUCUGUAUGUUUGGGUAGCUUGAGCUGGAGGCAGGGAGGUCACAUUGAGGAUGCGCUCAAUGGCUCUCGAUUUGGCCUCUGCCACUCUUUGUUCUGUUGGGUAACUUACUUCCUGCAGUGGUUUUAAACAUGGCCACAGACUUCUUUAACACUCAUCUUAGUGAGAGGUGGUGGUGGUGGAUCUGUGUCUUCUUCUCUUGAAUCUAGGUGGCUUUGUGACUCCACUAAUACAGAACAGUGGCAUUGAUGCUGUCUGACUUUCCAGGCUGGGCUGGAAAAGGUUGUGCAACUUCUGCCUGAGUUUCUUGGGACACUGUCAUUGGGGGAAAACAGCCCCUAUGUAGGAAAUCCAAUUGCCCUGAGAGUGCCAUGCUGGAGAGGUGUUCCUGUUCAAGGCCAUGCCCCACUGAGCUCCCGGCCAGUGGCCAGGCUGGCCGUGGGGAAUGAACCCCGUGAGCCACUCAGUCUCGCCCAGCCUUCAGAUGACUGCAGUUCCAGCCCAUGUGUGACUGCAGCAGCUAAGUCACAGCUGCCUCGUCAAACUCUCCCCAAAUUUUUGACCUGCAAAAGUACAAACGCUAUAAAAUUAUUGUUUUAAGCUACUAAUUCAGGAGUAAUUUGUUAAUAGCAACCAAAACACACCCCUUCUUGGGUUUCAAUUUUUUUUCUGAACCAUGAAGGGUUAGACUAGAUAAUUUUUAAAACCAUACUUUGAAAGUUUUAAAUAGUAGAUGAACUUUUUUCAAUUGUUUUUAUUGUAGUAAAAUAUACAUAAAAUUUACCAUCUUAAACAUUUUUAAGUGUACGGUUCAGUGGUAUUAAAUAUAUUCACAAUGUUGUGUAACCAUCAUCACCAUCCAUCUCCGUAACUCAUUUCGUCCUGCAAAACUGAAACUCUGUACACAUUAAACAAUAACUCCGUCUUCCCCUUUCUCCUCCAGCCCCUGACAUCCACCAUUCUACUUUCUGCCUCUAUGAUUUAGACUACUCUAGGUAUCUCACAUAAGUGGAAUCAUACAAUGUUUGCCUUUUGGGCCUGGUUUAUUUCACUCAGCAUAAUGUUUUCAUGGUUCAUCCAGGUUGUAGUAUGUACCAGGAUUUCUUUCCUUUUUAAGACUGGAUAAUAUUUCAUUGUAUGUAUAUACAACAUUUUGCUUAUCCAUUCAUUUGUUGAUAGACACUUUUGUUUUUGCCAUGUUUUAGCUAUUGUGCAUUAAUGCUGGUGUGAACAGGAGUGUACAAAUGGAAAGAACCUGCUUCCAAUUAUGUCAAAUAGAUACCCAGAAGUGGAAUUGCUGAUUUACAUGGUAAUUUUAUUUUUAAUUUUUUGAGAAACCACCACACCGUUUUUCACAGUGGCUGUCCCAUUUUUGCAUUCCUGCCACCAGUGUACAAGGAUUCCAGUUCCCCACACCCUCAUCAACACUUGUUAUAUAUAUAUUUUUACAAUAGCCAUGAUAAUGGAUAUGAAGAGGUGUCCCAUUGUUGCUUUGAUUCACAUUUCUCUAAUGAUUAGUGAUGCUGGACAUCUUUUCAAAGCAUGUUUUUUUUAAAAAAGGAGUUCAAACAUCAUAAAAGGAUAACAGAAAUUAAACAGUUUUCUUCCCUACUCCUGAGUUCUUCUCACCACUGAGAGGUAACUAACUUUAACAUAUGACUGAUUCUUCCAGAAAUGCUUGUUGUGAUUACAACAUAAUUAUAUCUUUAUAAAAUUACACAUAGAAUUAUAUCAUAGUUAAUUUUUGUAAUUUCCUUUUUUUCCACUUACUGAUACAGAUUGGAGAUAUUUCCAUACCAGUAUACAUAGGUCUACUUCAUUCUUAAUAUCUGCAUAAUUCCAUGGCAUGGCUUGGUCAACGUUUACUUCUCUAGUCACUGUUGAUGGGUAUUUCAGUUGCUUCUAGGUUGUUUGGUUGGUAUUUUUUGCUACUGUAAUAAUACUGCAUUGACUAUUAUUGUAUACUUGUUUAUGCUUUUGUAGGUCAAAUUCCUAGAAGUACAGUUUCUGGGUCAAAGGAUAUGCAUUGACAAUUUUGAUAAUUAUUGCCAAAUUUGUCUUUUAAAGAGGUGGCACAUAUUUAUACCACCACAAUGAGGAAGCUAGUAUCCUGCUACCUUUAUUAUCUUUCAGGUUUUGUCAUCUGCUGGAAGAAAAUAAUAUUCUGUUUUCAAGUUUUCAUUUCUUUAAUUGUGAAGUUGAGCAUUUUUAUAUGCACUUUGAUGAUUUUUUAUACAAAAUUUCAAUCAUGCAAAAGUAGAGAGACUAUAUCAUGAACUCCCAUAAGUAGAUCACCCCAAGUCAACUGUCAUUAUGGGUUUACCACUUGUUUCAAGAUUGAUGAUUUUUAAUUUCUAUUUUUCAUUGAAUAGCUAAUUUAUAUCCUUUGCCAAUUCUAUAGGGCUGUUCAUAUUUUGUUUUUUUUUAAAUGGUUUGUCGGAGCUUUUCUUAUCAUAACAAAUUAACUUUUUGCCAUUAUAUGUUACAAAUAUUUUUCCUAUUAAACUUGUGUUUUGAUAUUAUUAAAGGUCUUUUUGUACAGAAGCAAUUUUACUUUUUAUAUCAAAUUUAUCAAUCUUUUAAAAAGAUUUGUAGUUUUGUGUUUUCAAUGAUCUUCUCUACUCCAGGAAUAUAAAAUAAAAUAAUAAAAUAAA